GUGGGGCCGCCGCGCGUGCCCCGGGGGCGUGGCCGCGGUACGUGCGCUCUGUUCUCAUUGGCGCCGCACCCGGAAGAGCCUGUGGCGCCUGCGCGGUGUGGCCGCCGCGCUGCCCCGUUCCCUCAGGAGAUGGAGGCGGCAACGCGGCGGCGGCCGCGGGAAGAGGAGCGGCAGGAGCGGGAGCAGGACGAUGGUGGGCAGGUGCUGUCACGAUCCCUGUCGGGACAGUCCUACUGGCUGGACCUAUGGCUCUUCAUCCUCUUUGACCUGGCGCUUUUCCUGCUUAUCUACCUGCUGCCCUGAGGGCGCGGCCCAGGGCCAUUGCCACCAAGGGAAUUCUGGCCUAUUUCGCACCUUAUGAACACAGGAUGGAAGAGGAGGACCAUUGUGCGGGAUAAGCAGCUGGGAACACGGCUGCACUUGAGGCUCGAUGGAGGAGGCACAUUUUUAUACCGUACCGUGAUAGAUCUCUGCGUGUCACAAGUGUUACUGCUCAGCUUUUACCCGUAUCCCGUUCAUGGCUCCUGAACUGUGCCUUAAGGGUCACGACAGAAUGACUGUGCUUUUGUGAUUAGUACCUAAAGAAUUGCAGAAAUGGAAGUAUGUGGUGUUUAAAUAAAAUCCACUGAAAGGACACCCCGCAGCAUGGCUGAGAAUAAAACACAGCUCUUCUGUACACUGAAGUUGUAACUCAGACCUGUUCCCUCAAGGUGAAGCUAACCAGCUGUUCUACUUCCAGAAAGUUAAUCCUUGAUGCUCAUUUGUUUUCUAUUAUUCUUUUCUCUGUUUUUUCUUUCUUUACCUUCAGCAGGUUCUGAGCCCUCUCAGGCUCAGUAUUUACAGAUAUAAAUAUAUACUUGUAUAAACAUGUCAGUGUUCUAACCCA
Molecule: long non-coding RNA, 886 nt
Organism: Catharus ustulatus (Swainson's thrush)
Lineage: Eukaryota; Metazoa; Chordata; Aves; Passeriformes; Turdidae
Exons: 2
Source: RefSeq, a predicted model, not a curated record